CCUACGGGUGGCAGCAGUGGGGAAUAUUGGGCAAUGGGCGCAAGCCUGAACCAGCAACGCCGCGUGAAGGAAGAAGGCUUUCGGGUUGUAAACUUCUUUUUAGAGGGAAGAGCAGAAGACGGUACCUCUUGAAUAAGCCACGGCUAACAACGUGCCAGCAGCCGCGGUCAUACGUAGGUGGCAAGCGUUGUCCGGAUUUACUGGGUGUAAAGGGCGUGUAGCGGGGCUGACAAGUCAGAUGUGAAAUUCCGGGGCUCAAACCCGGACGUGCAUUUGAAACUGUUGGUCUUGAGUAGCGGAGAGGCAGGCGGAAUUCGUAGUGUAGCGGUGAAAUGCGUAGAUAUUAGGAGGAACACCAGUGGCGAAGGCAGCCUGCUGGACGACAACUGACGGUGAGGCGCGAAAGCGUGGGGAGCAAACAGGAUUAGAUACCCGAGUAGUC
RNAcentral lists this ribosomal RNA (442 nucleotides) under uncultured bacterium. Its description in RNAcentral is "partial 16S ribosomal RNA". It matches the Rfam family "Bacterial small subunit ribosomal RNA", at positions 338 to 795 of the family's 1533-position model. The record is from RNAcentral.